UGUUAUUGAAGUUGUGGCUGUCAAUAGUCCUUUUAUUGAUGCUAAGUACAUGGUAAGGAAAUAAUGCUAUAUGAUUUGCAUAUUUUUUUGCUACGAGAACUUCUCCAACUGAAACUCAAAGUUUAGGUGUUCAACUCAUAGUUUUGCAGUAGUUAGUUUUGUACUACUUUGUAUCAAAAUUGCAUCAGACCAUGUUGCACGGUAUUUCGAGCAUAGAAAAAUUACUUAACACCUAAUUUUGCACAAUUGGGUUCCUACUUUUUUCUGUUAUUAGGUGCAAUGACAGAAAUCAUCUAGUGGGAUGUUCUACUGCAUCGGAAUUUGACAAAUUUAAUUCUGCCAUUAUAUUCUUCCCUUCACUGCUCAAGUUAACACCCCUCCUCCCAUUUGUUGUCCCAUAUGUUCAAGUAUGAAUCCAGUCAUGGCCCCUUUAAAGGAUCCAUUAAGAUCGUGGAUGAUUCAGUAUUGGAGAUUAAUGUGAAAAGAUCACAACCAUGGGCGAAAGGUAAAUAUGCCAGGGUUAGCUAAUUGUUUGCCAUAUUAGUGCGGUUGAUAUAUAUGUCGUGGUUUCUAAAUAUGCAUGACAUGUUGUCCUGAAAUAAGGACAUGUGAAGCAAUGGAGUCGCAAAAGUAACAUUAUUAGUUAAUAAUUGAUUUAUAGUUUAGAGCCCCAUGUUUUUCGCACAUUCAUAUGGACAUAUAAUAGCUUAUACGCGCACGCUUGUUGUACAUCUGGAGUACUGCUUGUUCCUUCUCUUAUUUUGAUUCUUAUGUUCACAUGUUGAUUUUCUGUCAUAGAGGGAAAGGAGAAGUCUGAAUGCGCCAACAAGUAGCGACGAAUGAGCUGUCGUCUAUGGAUUGGUUAAGGGAGGAGUUGUCUUGCGCUACAAGGGCAUCUUGCAGAUCGAUUUCCUUGGUUUGAUGUGUCUCAGAUUCUAAUUAGUAUUUAAUUUCCUCAGUUUUAACUUAUAACCGGACAAAAAUUUUUAUUGCACCUAAAUAUUUGAUUAUGAAUCUAAGUUAUGGGAAAUAGGUGGAGUAAAAGGAAAUGAGGCGUUGUUCGAUGGGGCCUUGCCACGGUUGCCUUGAGUUUUCGCAUCGAAGCACCACUUUGUAUGGCUGGCCUUCCAUGGCUACAUCGAGGGUCCCAAUGUGCAGGUGAGCUCUUCUUUUCAUUGCAGGUUAUGAGUCAUCUCCACCUCAAUGAGAUUUAGUUUCCACAUUAACGACUAUAGGUUUAUUAAUAUUUUGGAGUGGUCUACUUUCAUUGUCUCCGGUUCAGUUGUGUAUUUCUUUUCGCCCAUGUUCGCUUCAGUAUUCCCUUCCAAUUCUCACACUAUGGUUGCAGCUUCUUUAUUUAUGUUGGAUUGUUCUGUGAAUUGCCACCAUGACACUUGUUGAAAAUAGUGUUGUCAGGUGAUAAUCAUUCUUGGCAGUGAUUAUUGUUGUGGAUGGGAUAUUGAUGCAGACAUACCACGAAGGGAAGAUCUGCCUCACUGUGCACUUCAGGCGCGCGCACACUAGCGAUGGUACAGGAUUGGCUUCCUGGUGGAAUCAGGUGCGCGUCGUCCAUGGUGGCCUGUCGUGGGUGUUGGUGGGCCGCUGGAGGCGGCUGUAGCAG
Molecule: long non-coding RNA, 1621 nt
Filed under: Triticum aestivum (bread wheat)
Lineage: Eukaryota; Viridiplantae; Streptophyta; Magnoliopsida; Poales; Poaceae
Description: long non-coding RNA (TAES_LNC003156)
Source: RNAcentral